This 253-nucleotide ribosomal RNA is filed under the name uncultured bacterium. RNAcentral describes it as "partial 16S ribosomal RNA". It matches the Rfam family "Bacterial small subunit ribosomal RNA", at positions 524 to 776 of the family's 1533-position model. The record is from RNAcentral.
GACGAACCGAGCGAACGUUGUUCGGAAUCACUGGGCUUAAAGGGCGCGUAGGCGGGGUCUCAAGUCCGUGGUGAAAUCCUCCGGCUCAACCGGAGAACUGCCUCGGAUACUGGGUGCCUCGAGGGUGGUAGGGGUAUGCGGAACUAUCGGUGGAGCGGUGAAAUGCGUUGAUAUCGAUAGGAACUCCGGUGGCGAAGGCGGCAUACUGGACCACCUCUGACGCUGAGGCGCGAAAGCCAGGGGAGCAAACGGG